AAUAGAUACCCGGGUAGUCCACCCCGUAAACGUUGGGAACUAGUUGUGGGGUCCAUUCCACGGAUUCCGUGACGCAGCUAACGCAUUAAGUUCCCCGCCUGGGGAGUACGGCCGCAAGGCUAAAACUCAAAGGAAUUGACGGGGACCCGCACAAGCGGCGGAGCAUGCGGAUUAAUUCGAUGCAACGCGAAGAACCUUACCAAGGCUUGACAUAUAGAGGAAACGGCUGGAAACAGUCGCCCCGCAAGGUCUCUAUACAGGUGGUGCAUGGUUGUCGUCAGCUCGUGUCGUGAGAUGUUGGGUUAAGUCCCGCAACGAGCGCAACCCUCGUUCUAUGUUGCCAGCACGUAAUGGUGGGAACUCAUGGGAUACUGCCGGGGUCAACUCGGAGGAAGGUGGGGAUGACGUCAAAUCAUCAUGCCCCUUAUGUCUUGGGCUUCACGCAUGCUACAAUGGCCGGUACAAAGGGCUGCAAUGCCGCAAGGUGGAGCGAAUCCCAAAAAGCCGGUCUCAGUUCGGAUUGAGGUCUGCAACUCGA
RNAcentral lists this ribosomal RNA (538 nucleotides) under uncultured bacterium. RNAcentral's name for it is "bacterial SSU rRNA". It matches the Rfam family "Bacterial small subunit ribosomal RNA", at positions 777 to 1315 of the family's 1533-position model. The record is from RNAcentral.